CAGGGACAGCGCUCAAGUGCAUAACCUGCCACCUUCACCUGACCUCAGAUCGCUGUAGAAGUGGCUUUGGAGUUUGUGUUGCUAAGGAGGAAGAGAAGUGUAUGACUUUAAAGGUCUACAACUUCGGACGGAAACACCUGCUGUCCUACAUGGUGUGCCAGAGGUUCUGCAGAGCCAUGAAGUUCCUGCACCACGGUCGGUAUUUCUUCCACGAGUGCUGCGACCAGAAUUACUGCAACUUCAAACUGGGAGGAACUGGCGCGACCACACUCCAAGGAGGCGACCCCGAGAGGCCCAGUGCAGAAACAUUGACAGGACUAUUCUA
Molecule: long non-coding RNA, 325 nt
Organism: Phyllostomus hastatus (greater spear-nosed bat)
Lineage: Eukaryota; Metazoa; Chordata; Mammalia; Chiroptera; Phyllostomidae
Exons: 3
Source: RefSeq, a predicted model, not a curated record